CCUCGAGGACGACCUCAAGGAUGACUUCCACAAAGACCUCGAGGACGACCUCA
This 53-nucleotide non-coding RNA is filed under the name Ixodes scapularis (black-legged tick). Its description in RNAcentral is "Guanidine-II sequence". It matches the Rfam family "Guanidine-II riboswitch aptamer (mini-ykkC)". From Rfam's summary of the family: Simpler in structure and has fewer highly conserved nucleotide positions than the ykkC-yxkD leader. Despite this each of its two stem-loop structures directly bind free guanidine. The record is from Rfam by way of RNAcentral. Lineage: Eukaryota; Metazoa; Arthropoda; Arachnida; Ixodida; Ixodidae.